This 712-nucleotide ribosomal RNA is filed under the name uncultured bacterium. RNAcentral's name for it is "bacterial SSU rRNA". It matches the Rfam family "Bacterial small subunit ribosomal RNA", at positions 8 to 699 of the family's 1533-position model. The record is from RNAcentral.
AGAGUUUGAUCCUGGCUCAGAUUGAACGCUGGCGGCAGGCCUAACACAUGCAAGUCGAGCGGAAACGAGUUAUCUGAACCUUCGGGGAACGAUAACGGCGUCGAGCGGCGGACGGGUGAGUAAUGCCUAGGAAAUUGCCCUGAUGUGGGGGAUAACCAUUGGAAACGAUGGCUAAUACCGCAUGAUGCCUACGGGCCAAAGAGGGGGACCUUCGGGCCUCUCGCGUCAGGAUAUGCCUAGGUGGGAUUAGCUAGUUGGUGAGGUAAGGGCUCACCAAGGCGACGAUCCCUAGCUGGUCUGAGAGGAUGAUCAGCCACACUGGAACUGAGACACGGUCCAGACUCCUACGGGAGGCAGCAGUGGGGAAUAUUGCACAAUGGGCGCAAGCCUGAUGCAGCCAUGCCGCGUGUAUGAAGAAGGCCUUCGGGUUGUAAAGUACUUUCAGUCGUGAGGAAGGUGGUAGUGUUAAUAGCACUAUCAUUUGACGUUAGCGACAGAAGAAGCACCGGCUAACUCCGUGCCAGCAGCCGCGGUAAUACGGAGGGUGCGAGCGUUAAUCGGAAUUACUGGGCGUAAAGCGCAUGCAGGUGGUUUGUUAAGUCAGAUGUGAAAGCCCGGGGCUCAACCUCGGAAUAGCAUUUGAAACUGGCAGACUAGAGUACUGUAGAGGGGGGUAGAAUUUCAGGUGUAGCGGUGAAAUGCGUAGAGAUCU